This 694-nucleotide ribosomal RNA is filed under the name uncultured bacterium. Its description in RNAcentral is "bacterial SSU rRNA". It matches the Rfam family "Bacterial small subunit ribosomal RNA", at positions 32 to 715 of the family's 1533-position model. The record is from RNAcentral.
AACGCUAGCUACAGGCUUAACACAUGCAAGUCGAGGGGCAGCAUUAUCGAAGCUUGCUUUGAUAGAUGGCGACCGGCGCACGGGUGAGUAACGCGUAUCCAACCUUCCCCAUAGUCAGGAAUAGCCCGGCGAAAGUCGAAUUAAUGCCUGAUGUUUUCCACGGACGGCAUCUGAUGUGGAACAAAGAUUCAUCGCUAUGGGAUGGGGAUGCGUCUGAUUAGCUUGUUGGCGGGGUAACGGCCCACCAAGGCAACGAUCAGUAGGGGUUCUGAGAGGAAGGUCCCCCACAUUGGAACUGAGACACGGUCCAAACUCCUACGGGAGGCAGCAGUGAGGAAUAUUGGUCAAUGGGCGAGAGCCUGAACCAGCCAAGUAGCGUGCAGGAUGACGGCCCUUAGGGUUGUAAACUUCUUUUAUAAGGGAAUAACGUCAGUAACGAGUUACUGAUUGCAUGUACCUUAUGAAUAAGGAUCGGCUAACUCCGUGCCAGCAGCCGCGGUAAUACGGAGGAUCCGAGCGUUAUCCGGAUUUAUUGGGUUUAAAGGGUGCGUAGGCGGGAGAGGAAGUCAGUUGUGAAAUUUUAUGGCUCAACCAUAAACUUGCAGUUGAAACUCCGUUUCUUGAGUACACAUGAGGUGGGCGGAAUUUGUGGUGUAGCGGUGAAAUGCUUAGAUAUCACGAAGAACUCCGAUUG